GGCUGCUCUUCCCUCCUCGACGGCUCAAGUUGCGGCAGGGUCCUUGGCCGAUCCUCUCUACUCUCAGGCCGACGUCGAAUGAACCUAUCGAGCCGACCUCGUUUGAUGAGCUCCUCGAUCUCGUCUCGGAGUUGAAUGCAUUCCUCUGUGUCGUGGCCGUGGUCACGAUGGUAGAGGCAGAACUUGUUAGGAUUGCGCUUCUCGGGGUGUGUGC
This 214-nucleotide long non-coding RNA is filed under the name Elaeis guineensis (African oil palm). Its description in RNAcentral is "long non-coding RNA (EGUI_LNC037111)". Lineage: Eukaryota; Viridiplantae; Streptophyta; Magnoliopsida; Arecales; Arecaceae. The record is from RNAcentral.